RNAcentral lists this ribosomal RNA (862 nucleotides) under Triticum aestivum (bread wheat). RNAcentral's name for it is "partial small subunit ribosomal RNA". The record is from RNAcentral. Lineage: Eukaryota; Viridiplantae; Streptophyta; Magnoliopsida; Poales; Poaceae.
UCCAUUCAUUAUUUUGACACAGCCACACUCACAUCUUUAAUCCUUUUUUCACAAUAGUGACCAACAAAGCUAUACACAGUGAACUCCAUCCUAUGAAAAAAUAGAGUGUGAGUCGUGCGGGGCACCUAGCCGAACUAGACCAUAUCUUAUGCAGUGCACUGCAACACACAUCUAGAGAACUGCAAAAACUAUUCACAAGCGCACUGCGACAGGGAACAAAAUAAGCCAAAACAAACUGUGCAGCCAUUUGCGCCAGAAUGCAAGCUCGCUGCCUAGCUGACUGCAUGCUGCACAUGACUGUUGAAAUGCCCCCGCACUUUGCCGCUGGGGGCGUAGCUGCGCGGUGGAGAUUGAGGGUUGGCCUCGCCCUUUUUUCCACCUUCUAUCGCUGCUCUGCAAAAACAAAGGGAACUGCACACGCACGAACUGGGAGCGGAUGAACAAUAGUGAACUUCACAUGCACGAAGAAAGAACUUGAGCCACGGAUCGGCAAGCAGGUGGGCGAGGCAAGACAGGGCCGCGGCGGAUCCGGACAUUGGAGGGGUGGAUCGGGCCGCGGCGACCGACAGGAGGUCGUCGGAUGUAGCCGGUGCGCCCGCUUUUUUUGCAGCAGGAGAAGGUACGAUGCGGCGGGCGGAUCUAGUAGGAGGUCCAGCGGGUCACCGGAGUAGGAGGCAGGCGCAGCCGGCGAAGCAUCGCUGCACCUGCACCAGGCGGCGGCAGGGCUUCCCUAUUGCCAGAUCCAAAGCAGCAGAAGAAGGCGACGGUGGAUCCGGCGAGCCGGGACAGGCGAUGGAGGCCGGGGCGGGCGGCGCGGGUGGUCCUUGGAGCGGGCGGCGCUCGGUGCUGGCCGGGACGGGGU